Molecule: long non-coding RNA, 457 nt
Organism: Eupeodes corollae
Lineage: Eukaryota; Metazoa; Arthropoda; Insecta; Diptera; Syrphidae
Exons: 2
Source: RefSeq, a predicted model, not a curated record
AAAAGAUGUGAUAUAAUUUUUGCUGUCCGUUCGAUGAACUUGAGCAGAUCGAUUAUUUCAAAACUGUUCGAGUAUAAAUAGUUGCUGAAUUGAUUUUAAAAUUAACAGAUUCUUAUAAGAAUUCAACAAGUUCACUUCAAACAAAAACUUUAACUUCUAUUCAAAAUGAAAUUCUUCCUUAUCACACUCCUGGUAUGCUUUGCCAUGGUUCUCUCAAUGGCUGCUGCUGCUCCAUCUGAAGAAGGAAUUUUCGGUGACUUACCUGACAGCGAUAUUGUCAACCCACAGGAACCAAACGAAUCACUGAAAUUGUUGCUGUUGAAGAAAUUGAAGCUCAAGUUGUUGAGAGGUUAAGCUGAUCAAAUAUUAUUGUUACUAAAUGCAUUAAGUUCACAAAGAUUGAUUAUUUUUAAGUUAUUGUUACAAUAAAAAGUUAUUUAAGACAAAAUCAAAUUUA